RNAcentral lists this transfer RNA (75 nucleotides) under Alphaproteobacteria bacterium. RNAcentral describes it as "tRNA-Phe". It matches the Rfam family "tRNA". Rfam says of the family: Transfer RNA (tRNA) molecules are approximately 80 nucleotides in length. Their secondary structure includes four short double-helical elements and three loops (D, anti-codon, and T loops). Lineage: Bacteria; Pseudomonadati; Pseudomonadota; Alphaproteobacteria. The record is from RNAcentral.
GCCCGGGUAGCUCAGUGGUAGAGCAGCGGACUGAAAAUCCGCGUGUCGGUGGUUCAAUCCCGCCCCCGGGCACCA